This 19-nucleotide unclassified non-coding RNA is filed under the name Mus musculus (house mouse). RNAcentral describes it as "oocyte_clustered_small_RNA9375". Lineage: Eukaryota; Metazoa; Chordata; Mammalia; Rodentia; Muridae. The record is from RNAcentral.
UGUCACUGUCAGUUUGUGC